Molecule: ribosomal RNA, 398 nt
Filed under: Chelonoidis chilensis (Chilean tortoise)
Lineage: Eukaryota; Metazoa; Chordata; Testudines; Testudinidae
Description: partial 12S ribosomal RNA
Rfam family: Bacterial small subunit ribosomal RNA
Source: RNAcentral
GCUUAGCCCUAAACCCAGAUAUUUAACAAACAAAAAUAUCCGCCAGAGAACUACGAGCAAACGCUUAAAACUCUAAGGACUUGGCGGUGCCCUAAACCCCCCUAGAGGAGCCUGUUCUAUAAUCGAUAAUCCACGAUCCACCUCACCAUCUCUUGCCAACACCGCCUAUAUACCACCGUCACCAGCUUACCCUAUGAAGGAUAUAAAAGUAGGCAAAAUAGCCUAACAACGGCUAAUAAGUCAGGUCAAGGUGUAGCUAACUGAGAUGGAAGAAAUGGGCUACAUUUUCUAAAUUAGAAAUUAUCUCACGGAAAGAACCAUGAAACAAGUUCUACAAGCAGGAUUUAGCAGUAAAUGAGGGAUCAGAAUGCCCAAUUUAAGCCGGUCCUAAGGCACGC